CUUUUUUCACGUAAGAACAUACAAAUAUGGACUCGACUAGCUUACAGAUUCUGUAAGCUACAGACUGCAGAGCAUCAGCCGUUGGAUGUGGUUGGAUGUGGAGUGAGAGAUUAAACCAUAGAAAAUGGGACGGUGGGAUGACGGGAGAUGUUAGGUACAGAAUCUGUACCAUAGGCAGGUUACACACACAAUUCCUGUACGUUGCUUCUGAUUUGGUACCAGCUCCCCUCGAACCCGUGAUUGAUGACGUGCUGAACAUAUUGGCACCAAGCCAACAAGAUCACGCUGGGAGCUGGUGAUGAAUUGUAUCACAUUUACCUUUUGUUCCGUAAAAUUUUUUAUAUUUUGACUUGCAAAGUUUUGAAUUAAGAAUAAAUGAUGAAAUGAAACCAAUGCUUCUGACACUAAUUUUUCACAUAUUAUUUGAAAAAGAAUUAAAAUAAGACGUUGUAUUUAAAACAAGUCAUUUUUAAAUAAUAAUAUUAUACUUAUUCAAUUAGGGUAUAUUAUUUCGUAUUCUAAUUGAUGCAUCACUAAUAAAAUUUUACUAUUUGAAUUAAAUAAGAUAUGACUUAACUAUCAUUUAAAUGGGUCCAGCUAUGUUGCAACAGUGGUAUGGUAUUACAGUUGCAACCAGCCAUUGGAUGUAUAGUUGUACAGUUGUAUUAGCAAGAUCCAAUGGCUAAAAGCAACAGUGGUACCGUACCAUUAUUGCAACAUAGUUUUGCCCCAUUUAAAUAAAUCAAAUAGUGAUAUAUCAUUUCUUACAUUGACUAAAAUAUAAACUAAAUAUCUUAACUAAUCAUACAUAACAUUAUUAAUUUUUGAAUGCAUCAUUAAUUAAGUUGUAAAUGAUGAAGAUGGAUCAUAAUGGAGUUGAACUAAAUUUAGCUACCAACCUUCUCGAACCUAAGACCAAGUUAAACGGUUCUUGAAGCACCAUACCACCGAGUUAUGAGAAGUUUGGUCAAAACAACAGUGAACAACAGUUAAAGCAACAAGUGUUUGAUGGAAGUAUAAAAGCGUUUGAUGAAAUGCCUCAAUGAAGAGUCUCUUGGCGAGUAUUUGAAUUCAGGAACUAAAUAGUCACUAGCGAGCAUUCAAGAAGAUAGUCCCUGAUACUUGUAGAAGGAUGAAAUGUCUUAAGAUUUUAAGAAGAUCAAUGGUCAAGACUGGAAUCAAAGAAUUAAGGGGGUCUGAAUUGAACAGUGAAUAAAACAGAAGUGCAUAACGAACCUUAUUACCUUUGUAUUAUCAUUUACCCUUAAAUCUCAGCCCUAGGAUUAACAGCAAGGGAUGAAGUACGAAUUCAAUACAUGCAUUAUUCACCAGCUGUAAAUGUAGUACAAGGCCAUUGUAUAUAUAAAAUUGAGCAGUGGAAUAUCAAUAAUACAAGCUCGUUCUUUCAAAUUUCUGGCAAUAGGCAUAUAUUUCAGUAAAUUUUACACUAUACACAUUAUACAUUGGAAAAAAAUCCAUAGUGCUUUUAAAAAUAAAUAUUACCAAACGUUUAAUUGAUUCUCUUCGCAAUUGUAUAAUUAACAACAAUUAUUUUAAAAGUUAUAGUAUUAUCAAACUAACCCUAAGAUGAUUGUAUUUUUUUUUUUUUUGAAAAAAAUAUAAUUCCUUGUAAGAUCUCAAAUUUCUUCAAUCUCUAGUGAUGUGAUUAAAGUAUGAACUUAUAAAUACCCAUUGAAAUUCUCUAAUACAGGAAAACGAUGUUUGUAUCUUUUAAGUUUGUCAUAAUAUAAAGGUCACUACACUUUAUCAAUAGAUACAUAAAUUCUUUUUUCAAUUUGAAUCAUCAAGAUCAACUCCGAAUGUGUGGUUCCAUUAUUGCUUCUCUCAUGACGUUGAUCUCAUCAUUGCAUAUAUGACAAUCAAAAGGUAAAAAAAAAAAAAAAAAGAUUAUGACUGAAUGUUUGAUAUCCUUAAACAAAAGAAACUAGGUUUAUAUAUAAUAAGACGCUUAUACUUUUCAAAUCUCUUAUUAAUAAGAAAUCAAUAAAAAAUAAUAAUAACUUUUUUGCAUUUGUGAUAAAAAGAAGGUAUUUUGUAAUACCUUUUUUCAUGUAAGAACAUACAUAUAUAUAUAGGACUUGACUAGCUUACAGAAUCUGUACGUAAGCUACAGACUGCAGCAUCAGCCGUUGGAUGUGGAGUGAGAAACUAAACAAUAGAAGAUCGGAUGGUGGGAUGACGGGAGAUGUUUGUUACAGAAUCUGUAACAUAGACAGGUCCGUAGAUAUGUACACACACACACAAUUCCUGUACGUUGCUUCCGACUUGGUACCAGCUCCCCUCGAACCCGUGAUUGAUGACGUGCUGAACAUAUUGGCCCCAAGCCAACAAGAUCACACUGGGAGCUGGUGAUGAAUUGUAUCACAUUUACCUUUUGUUCCGCAAAAUUUUUUAUAUUUUGACUUACAAAGUUUUGAAUUAAGAAUAAAUGAUGAAAUGAAACCAAUGCUUCUGACACUAAUUUUUCACAUAUUAUUUGAAAAAUAAUUAAAAUAAGAUGUUGUAUUUAAAAUAAGUCAUUUUUAAAUAAGAUGCCACCUAUAUUGAGAUAUUAAAAAAAAAUUAUUUGGAUACUUGUAUUUUAACUUUAAAAAAAUUUAGAUCCUUUUAAAUUGCAAACCCACAAAGAAAAAAAUAAAUGCCACCUUAAUGUUACCAAUUAUUAUUAAUAUAAUAUCAUUUUUCCAAUAAUAUUUAGAUACAAAGAGCUCAAUUGGAAUUACAUUUAGAAGGCUCAAUUUUUUUUUUAAAAAUCACUUUUGGCAAAUCACCCUAUCCUAUAACAUGUUUUGAAAAAGUAGGAAAUGAGAUUAUUUUCAAAAAUCUGAUUUUUAAAUUAGGUUUAUACUUAAUAAAAUUUAUAUACACACACUUAUGAUAAAAAUAUAAAAUUAUCCUUAUCAAUUAGGAAAUAUCAUUAAAAUUGAAGAGAUUAUUAUUAUUGACAAUUGCAUUGAGAUGACAAGAUAAAAAUCAAAAUCAUAAGAAAAUAUUUAUUUUAGUUAUCAAUUCUUAUAUACACAAUAAAAAAUAUUUUACAUACGUGUUUAUAAAUCGAUAAAUAAAAUUUAUUUGAUAUCAAGUCUAUUUCAGUUAUUUAUAUUUUACAGCAGUUUAAUAGUAAGAUUUACUAAACAUAUAUAAUUACUUUCAAAACCCAUAGUGCUUUUAAAAAUAAAUAUUACCAAACGUUUAAUUGAUUCUCUUUACAAUUGCAUAAUUAACAACCAUUAUUUUAAAAGUUAUAGUAUUAUCAAACUGGCCCUAAGAUGAUUGUUUUUUUUUUUAAAAAAAAAAUAUAAUUCAUUGUAAGAUCUCAAAUUUCUUCAAUCUCUAGUAAUGUGAUUAAAGUAUGAACUUAUAAAUACCCACUGAAAUUCUCUAAUACAAGAAAAAUGAUAUUUGUAUCUUCUAAGUUUGUCAUAAUAUAAAGGUCAUUACACUUCAUGAAUAGAUACAUAAAUUCCUUUUUCAACUUGAAUCAUCAAGAUCAACUCCAUAUGUGAUUCCAUUAUUGCUUUUCUCAUGACGUAGAUCUCGUCAUUGCAUAUAUGACAAGCAAAAGGAAAAAAAAGAAAACAAGAUUAUGACUGAAUGUUUGAUAUCCUUAAACAAAAAAAACUAGGUUUAUAUAUAAUAAGACGUUUAUACUUUUCAAAUCUCUUAUUAAUAAGAAAUCAAUAAAAAUAAUAAUAACUUUUUUGCAUUUGUGAUAAAAAGAAGGUAUUUUGUAAUACCUUUUUUCAUGUAAGCUACGGACUGCAGCAUCAGCCGUUGGAUGUGGAGUGAGAAACUAAACAAUAGAAGAUCGGAUGGUGGGAUGACGGGAGAUGUUUGUUACAGAAUCUGUACCAUAGACAGGUCCAUAUAUACACACACACACAAUUCCCGUACGUUGCUUCCGACUUGGUACCAGCUCCCCUCGAACCCGUGAUUGAUGACGUGCUGAACACAUUCGCACCAAACCAACAAGUUCAUCCUGGGAGCCGGUAGUGAAUUGUAUCACAUUUACCUUUUAUUCCAUAAGAUUUUUUAUAUUUUGACUUUGCCAAAUUUUGAAUUAAGAAUAAAUGAUGAAAUGAAACCAAUGCUUCUGACACUAAUUUUUCCCAUAUUAUUUGAAAAAGAAUUAAAAUAAGACGUUGUAUUUAAAAUAAGUCAUUUUUAAAUAGUAAUAUUAUACUUAUUCAAUUAGGUUAUAUUAAUUCGUAUUCUAAUUAAUGUACCGCUAAUACAAUUUUACCAUUUGAAUUAAAUAUGAUAUGACUUAACUAUCAUUUAAAUCAAUCAAAUAGUAACAUAUCAUUUGUUGAAUUGACUAAAAUAUAAACUAAAUAUCCUAACUAAGCAUACAUAACAUUAUUAAUUUUUGAACGCAUCAUUAAUUAAGUUGUAAAUGAUGAAGAUGGAUCAUAAUGGAGUUGAACUAAAUUUAGCUGCCAACCUUCUCGAACCUAAGACCAAGUUAAACGGUUCUUGAAAGCACUAUACCACGGAGUUAUAAGAAGUUUGGUCCAAACAACAGUGAACAAACCAUUUUUUUUCCUUUUUUUAUAGUUAAAGCAACAAGUGUUUGAUAGAAGUAUAAAACCGUUUGAUGAAAUGCCUCAACGGAGAGUCUCUUGGCGAGUAAUUGAAUUCAGGAACUAAACAAGAUAGUCCCUGAUACUUGUAGAAGGAUGAAAUGUCUUAAGAUUUUAAGAAGAUCAAUGGUCAAGACUGUAGUCAACCUUAUUACCUUUGUAUCAUCAUUUACCCUUAAAUCUCAGCCCUAGGAUCAACAGCAAGGGAUGACGUACGAAUUCAAUAGAUGCAGUAGUCACCAGCUGUAAAUGUAGUACAAGGCCAUUGUAUAUAUAAAAACUGAGCAGUGAAACAUCAAUAAUACAAGCUCGUUCUUUCAAAUUUCUGGCAAUAGGCAUAUAUCUUCAGUAAAUUUUGCACUACACACAUUAUACAUAGAAAAAAGAAAAAAAGAAACAAAAUGCAUCUUAAAGCCUCUGAUUAGGUUCUUGUUCCACCAACCCGUUUCCUGGGGUCAAUGGCUUGACUAGAAUUCUCAGAAGUCAUAUCAUUUCUCAUCCACUUGACCAAACUCAUCAUCAUGUCCUCAUUAAGCUGUAUAAAUCACACUUGUAAGCAUCCCCCCUUUGGUAACGCUCCACUACUCCAGGUCUAUGUAUUCCACAGUUCCGGCAACAUUCAUGGUUUUGAUAUGCGUAUGAGCAUCAGGGCAUUGCCUCUACCAGCCCAAAAUCCGUGAUCCUAGCAUCAAUAUCAUCAUCAGGAUCACAUUUGCUUGCUUGAGAUCACGGUGGGUAAUACGUGGGCUAUGCCCAGAUGAAACCGGCAGCUACUCAUUUCGCGAUCUUGUGCCUAGCCCAUCAAGGACUCUAAUUGUCUUUCAAUUCUGUUGCGAGGCAAUCAGUUAAACUGACUUACAAAAUUUCCAUUGCGCUCAGGCUGAGCCAGUGAGCCUAUAAAAAUAAAUAAAGAAAUGAAAUGAAAUAAAUAAAGGAUUUGGGUUAUUGUUACAUUUAUUAAUGUCCUUGGCAUGUGCAAAUGCCACUAUAUGCUCUCAUAUUUGUGACAGUAAUUAAUAUUCUUUCACAUAAUGCAAACCAACUGGAAAUUUCUAAUAUUACAGGGCAUCAUCAACAUUAGCAGAAGCUGCUAAAGCAAAGACUCCUAAAUUAAGCUGCGAUGAUGAAGAGCCAUGUAACAAAAACUGAUCCAUAUUGUUUGAUUACAUAACCUUUGCACAUAAUAUGCAAUUCCAAAGCAAUUUAACCACUCCUUGCAAAUAAAUGAAUAUGUUAAUCUUGUUCAAUUUUCUGUAAAUUAACUAAAGCAAGAAAUUAAGAUGACUUACUAAGCAAAAAGCAGGGCCUUCCAAGAUCGGCCGCCAGUGGAGUUCACUGAAAAGUGCGACUGAUAUAUACAGCUUAGUUAAAUUAACAGAGGAGAUAUGAGGUCGGUUCAGGGGAUGAGAAAUGUUAUGACCUCUGAGAAUUCCCUAGUCAAGCCACUGACCUAAGGAAACGGAAUUGAAGAACAAGAAUCGAAUCAAUAAUAAACUGAGAGGCUUUAAAACUACAUUUUGUUUCUUUUCUUUUUCUUUUUUUCCCUCCUAGCUAGAUAUAUAUAUCUUGAAAUAUUGGUGAAAAUGUAAAAUUUUCAUCAAGAAAGUUGGUGAAAUAUUGGAGAAAGUGAGAGAUAUUGAAUUUUUGAGUUGGAAAAAGAGAAAUAUCAACUUGCCGUGUGUUGCCUAAAGAAGAACGAAACUGAUACCGAGAGCCAAUCCUAGCGGAUGUAUAUAUAGGAAAAUGGUAUGAACUCAUCAAAUGCUGCAUUUUGAAAAUUUUGCUUUUACAUGUUCGAAAUUUUAAACACCACCCCUUUUCUGGGUAAAUGCAUUGUCGCUCAGUGUUUGUUGUUUACUUGAUUUUCGGUAAACGAAUAAAGGAUGAAUUGAAGGGAUGAUCAACAGCAUUAUGGUGCUUAGUUUCCUGUAAUGCUUUAUUCUGGCAAUGAAUUGAUGAUAGAGAAUUUCUCAUUAACAGCAAGUAGACGAUGACUUUGUUUAUGAACUAAAAAGUGACGUGGCGGUUUAGAAAAUGAUUAAUUUCCUGCAAUGCUUAUUCUGGCAAUGAAUUGAUGAUAGAGAAUUUCUCAUCAACAACAAGUUGAUGAUGACUUUGUUUAUGAACCAAAAGUUUUGAAUUAAAAAAAAAAAUUAACUCUAUAAUUAAUAAAGAGUGAGAGGUAUUUUUAGAAUGAGUACCUCUAUUCAAACCAAAGGGUGCCGUUUGGUUCAAAGUUUCUCGAAGUCCGACCCUGAUGAUAUGGUAAACAAGCAAAGCACCAUAGCAGCACGACCAGCGAGCUAAGAUUAUUGUAUUUUUUAAUUCAUAAUUUCCCAAUAUAAUUCAAAUUCUAAGAUUAUUGUAUUUUUUACUAUAAUAUAAUUCCUCAUAAUAUCUUAAAUUUCUUCGAUCUCAACUGAUAUGAUUAAAGCAUAACCUUAAAAAAAAUAAAAAUAAACCUUUUUAAUUCUAAAUUGGGAAAAGGUAUCUGCAACCCUCAAAAUUUCUCUUAAUAUACAAGUUACUGAUGCAUUUAACGUUUUAUGAACUGAUGCAUGGACUCCUUUUCAACUUAGAUCAUCAAGAUCAUCACUGUAUGUGUGACUCUAUUGUUACUGUUUCAUGACAUAAAUCUCAUUAUUACAUAUAUCUCAAAAAGAUAAAUCUAAGUGUACAUUCUAGAUCCUUAAACAGACCAAAAAAUUAAUUUUUUUUUUUUUUUUUUCAUUUUUCAUUUAACGUUUUAUGAACUGAUGCAUGGACUCCUUUUCAACUUAGAUCAUCAAGAUCAUCACUGUAUGUGUGACUCUAUUGUUACUGUUUCAUGACAUAAAUCUCAUUAUUACAUAUAUCUCAAAAAGAUAAAUCUAAGUGUACAUUCUAGAUCCUUAAACAGACCAAAAAAUUAAUUUUUUUUUUUUUUUUUGCAUUUUUUAUAAAAGGAGAGGUAUUUUGUAAUACCUUAUUUGAUGGCAAGAAUAUAUACAUCCUGUUCGCUGAUACCAGCUCUCCUCGAACUCAUGAUUGGUGACAUGAUGAACAUGUAGGCACCAUACCAACAAGAUCUUGAAGAGAGCCGGUGACGACUCGUCUCUUAUUUUAUCCUUGUUCUGUAAAAUUUAUUAGUUUAUUUUUUCGUAACUUGAAAAGGCCACUCGCACCCAUCUUUCUUCAUCACGUGUUUAAUAAUGACACAAAAUGAGAAUUUAAUCCAAGUAUUUUACACGUGUUGCACUUCAAAUUUAUUUCAAUUUUAAAUUAUAUCAAAUAGAAUUAUCAUUUUAUCCUUAAAAACUUAGAUUUACGAUAACAAAAUUAACUGAGAAUUUAUCUCAAGUUUUAGAGACUAAUUUAAAAGAGUAUUAUUACCUUCUCUUCACAUAUAAAUGAAGCGAAAAGAAAAUGACAUGAUGUGCAAUAUAAUAUAUUUUGACUUUGGUGGGAGAUUUUAGCCAAGAAGAAAUGAUGAAAUUGUGAUCUGUUUUCUCAUAUAUUAUUUGAAAAUGAAUAAAGGAACCUUUGUGAUAAAAAAGAAGGUAUUUUCGAAUACCUCACUUAAGUUAGAAUGUUGGAAAUGAGGAUGAUGAUGAUGGGAUCAUAUUGGAGUUGGACUGAAUUUAGCUACCAAUCUUCUCGAACCUAAGACCAAGUUGUAAGGUGCUCCAAGCACCAUACCACCGUGUUCAUAAGAAGAUUGGUGAUACUGACAUACAUUUUUUUCAUUUCCCUUUUAUGCACAACUUAAGUUAGUGGAACUAAAAAUAAACUUGACAAUUUUUUUUUUUUUUUAAGCUUUCUACAACAUUAAAUAAAAUAAUAAUACAUGCGUACUUUUAUAUAUAACAUAUACAGUAUACUCGAUGGAUAUUGAACGCCGGCGACAUCUGGAGGAUCAUCACCACCCGUGGCUAGUGAAGCCAUAGGUGAUUUUUAGUGCUUCAAACUUCAAAAUUACGAAUUUACCGUUGUCGGUCAAAGAUGGCCGGUAGUUAAGCUCGGACGUUAGCUCUUCAGGCCACGUUUAUUCCGAUGAUGAUGGCGGUGUGCUUUCACGCGCAGCUGUGGCGUCGGAUCAAAGCUCAUGAGCCCGUGAGUCUCCAACAGCUGAUUGGCAGCGGGAAUUGCCAAUUUGGUGCCUAAGGUUGACUGAAAAUGAAGAGAGAAGCUUGAAGAACCAAACCCAGGUGGUGAAUGGCCGGAAAUUAGCGAAAUCAGGCGAAAAAGAUGCGGCUUUUGCCGCGGUUUCGCAAGCUCGAUCCGCGGUCUUCCAGUUGUUUUGCGGCGGCGUUUGCGGCAGGGGAACGACCGGCGUAGCUCUAGCUUCCGAUUGGUACGUCACUUGGUCGAUGAGGUGGCCGGAGAUGUGAGGUCCGUCCGGGUCGGGGUUACCGGGUCGGGUCUAUCACGGGUUUUGCCUAGAGGAAAUCUAUUACGGGUAUUCCCAUAGCACCAUCGAUUGAAAAGGUAUACAUUAAUAUUAAUAAACAAAAAUUGUUAUCCCAACAUUUGAAAUGUAUAACAGUUGAUGCUAAAAAUUACUAAAAUAAAAAGAUAAUACUUAUAUUAUAAAAAGAAAUUCUAAAAUAAAGAAAUGCAUAUUUGUUGAAAACCUAAACAAUGGUUAAAAUCUGAUAGUUCUUGUAACAAAAUACAAAUUUUAUUAUAAGUUUUGAAAUGAUAUAUUAUAUAUAUAAAAAAAAGGAUAAAUCAUUUGUCUAAUGGAACGACAAUUUCACUCUACGUAAUAAGAAAGAGAUUCCUAUAGUAGACAUAUUUGUGGUGUAUUAUUGACAAAACAAAAGGUAUUUUAGAAUACCUCAUUGAAGAGUAUCAAGGAACUUGUUAUAUUUUCAAAGGGGUGUUCCAAAAGCUACCAAUUUUCUCGAACCAAGGCCAAGCGGAAUGAUGAUUGAUGCCUCGAACAUCACACCGCCCGAUCCCGGCGAAUGCUGGUGAUUCGCGUGCGCGGCAUUUUUUAUUUAUUAUUUUCUCUUGAACGCACUCAAUGAAAAAUUAAACUCUCUCUAUCAAAUGAUGUAACGAUGCCAAGUAAAUUUAUGAUGAUAGGUGAAUUAAUAAGUUGUGAUACAAAAUUUAACAAAUGAGGGGUUUAUAUAGUAAAAUGUUUCUCGAGAAUAAUUUGGAAUGUAAUUUAUUUCGCAAAUAUAGCAUUCUGAAAUGUUAAGACUUUGGUAUUGAUCUUGUACCAUCUAAUUCUGAGAAAGAUAAUUUAUUAAUAUUUUUUCAAAUAUAGUGGCAUAAUUUAACUAAAGCAGAUUCUUAUUUUUAUUUUUGAAAAGGUAAGGUAUUUUGGAAUACCUUGUUUAAGGUGGAAAGGAGUAUUUUGAGAGGAAUUAUUUUGAAGGGUGCUCAAAAGCCAUACCAGUUCUCUCGAACACGCGACUAGGCGAGGUGGUUCCAUAAGCACCAGACCACCGAGUCACUGGAAAGAUUGGUGGCGACCAUGAUCAUUUUAUAUUUUUUUAUAACUAGCAACUGCGUACUUUGUAGAUCUCUAAAUAAUAAUUUUAUAAAUUAAGCAACUAUUUAUUUUUUUGAGUUAAUAACUUAAUUGACUUAAUCAAGUAAUUAAGCCAAUCUUUUUAAAAUUUUGCUUGAUCUAGAAAGUCUAAAUGAUGUCAUUUAAAAUAUUCUCCAAACUAUCCCUAUCUAAUUAAUUAACUUUCAUUCUUACCUAAAUGAAAUUUAAUAAUUAGCAUUAUAAUCUAUCUCUAUAAUAUGUGAUAAUAUAAUGGUAGAUUAUUAUUAUUUUUAUCCUUUAAUUUCCUUCAAAUUAGCAUUAUUUGUCCUCAUAAAAUUUUUAUGAAUAUUUUUAUAUAAAAACACCAUAAAUUAUAAUAAAAUUUAUUUAAUAUAUACUAAUUUAGAGUAUUAAAAGGUUGUAUUCAAUUGAACAUAAUUAAUGUUAUGAUAAUAUAUUAUCUUAUUUAUAUUCUUUGAGGUGUUUAUUAUUUGUUUAACACUUAUAAUUUAUAAGGAAUAAAUGUAAAAAUACUUGUUUUUAGAUUUUUAAGUUAACAAAUAAUUUAAUAUCUAUUUUUAGCGAUUCAAAUAAAAAUAAAUAAAUACAUCAUUCAGAUUCAAACAUUCAACUCUAUUCAGAAUAUAGAGUAAAAGACUUUUUUUUUUUUGGGUCUGAAGUCUGCAUUUUAGUUAUUUUCAGACAUUUUAUAGUUUUUAAUUUAUUUGUUAUCUAGCAUUUAUAUCAGAUUAUAGAUGUUUAUGUCUGAAUAGAAAAGGUUAAAUAUUUGACCUUUAUCUGAAUGGCAAACAUCUAAAUGGAACUUUAUUAUUCUCUAUCACUAAUGUCCCUAUUAAAUAAAUUUAUUUCUUGUUAUAUAUAAAUUAUUCUUUUAUUAUUUUUUAUUUAUACCUUUCUUUUUGUUAUAUGUGUUUCCAACCAUUGUUAUUAUUUUUUUGAAUGAGAAUUUUGAACAUAAUAGAAGUUUAGGUGAGUGUAUUUUAAAAUAGGUUCAUCUCUUUGUGUUAUAUUUACUAUAUUUAUAAUAGAUUUUGAAUUUUAUUUAAUACAUUUAUUUUAAUUCAAAUAACUAAACAAUUAUUGAUUGUUAAUAUCAAUAUAAUGUGCUAAAAGUAACAUCAUAAGUAUGACAUACUAAUGUAAAAAAAAAUUUGUUAGAUAUAUAUAUAUAUUUCAAGUUUUGUUAAGGUAAACAUUAUGAAUUUUUUUUAUAAUCAAAUAAAUUAUUUAUAACUUGUCAUGUAUUUAACCAAUAAAUAUAAGUAUUUUUAAUAUUUAUGAGGUUAUAUAUGUCAAAAUAUCAUAUAUCACAUGUUUGCUUUUUGGAAAACAAAUAACUUAACACUUAUAUUUAGAUAUUGAAAAAAAAAACAAACAAACAUGUCAUUUGAAUAUAUGUAUUCAAGCCUAUUCAGACCUUAGCCAAAUUCAAAACCAUUCAGAUUUUAAAUGCGAAAACAAAUGCUACUCAAUUAAGGUCUAUUCAAAUUUCAAAUAAAAAAAACAAACGCCAUCUAAGUCUACUAGUAAACUCUGAAUUUUAUUGCUAUGGAUCAAAUAGUUUUUUUCUAUAAUGAUAACAAUUUUUUUUUUUUAACAAAAAAAAAGCAUUCAUUGAUACUUGUAAGGCCCUAAAUUCACUUGGAUUACCCUUUCCCCUCCCCCCAAAGAAACAAAAAAGGAAAAAAAAAAAAAAAGGCAAACAAAAGGAAAAAAAAGCAAACUCAUUUUUUCAACAUCAUUUAUCAUUAUUUUCUAAUUUCUUAAGACCAAUGUAUUGAAUUUGCACACCUCUUAAUACAAUUCAUUAUAAUCCAUACUCUUUUAAUACAGUUCAAUUCAAUAUAGCAUGAUCCACCAAAUACACCAUUAAUAUAUGUCUUAAGACCAGUGUGGUGGUCAUACUUUCCCUGUUUUUGCCGAAGGAAAGAAAAUAAAGCUUUUAUAGUAAAAAGAAGGUAUGUUAGAAAUUCGAAUACCUCAAUUAAUUAAUGUAAAGGGGUUUUGAUCAGCAUAGAUAAUAGAUAGGUACCAAUCCUCUCUAACCUAAGGCCAAGUGAAAUGGAACAAAUAAAGCCCCAUCCCACACAGUCCAUAAAAAAAGAGUGGUAUUGUACAAUUAAAUUUUAUUCCUUUGUGUUAUAAUUUUUGUAAAUCUAUAGAACACAGAGAAAAAAGAUUCAUUAAAUUCAAAUUUCUCAAGAAAGUUUGGUGAAAUGAAGAACAGAGAGAUUUUGAAUUGGAGUAGUUUGAGUUGGAUGAAGAGAAUUAUAUAACUUGCAGUGUGUUGAGCGAAGAAGAAGAAACUGAUACUGAGAGACCAUGAAAGCAGAGUUUUUGUAUAAGAAAAAGAUAUGAACCUGCCAUAUGCUGCUGCUCUUCUCAAAAACUAAAACCAGGCUAAAUGAAGUUCUGUAUGAUACAAAAAGAAUGGGAAAGGGAAAAUUAUUAAAAAAGAGCUUUAGUUUUUAACAAAUGUGAUUCAAAGAAGAAUGGCCAUACCAAAACUUCAGGACAAGCAAUGCCCAUGUGUGCAUCAGCCAGAGAAGGACUGAGGUAAGUUCAUUAUGUAAUAUGCAUGGCCUCAAUUCGUUUUUGGUUUAUAUAGAAGCCCAUGACCUCACUUAUUAGCUGAUGUGGAAUAACGUGCCUAACAUCCCCUAUUAUACAUGUACAAAAUCAAUCGCUUUAUCAUGUUUUUGUCACGUGGUCAUUAAGGUAGUGUAGUUGACUCAUAUACCAUAUAUAUAAAAGUUCGCAAGCCUAAUUCGUAUUAAAAAACUAGCUCAAUAAUGAAAAUUGUCUUAGAUUUUAUAUAUUUAAUCUAAAUUUCAUUUUCAAGUGAUAUAAGAUAAUAUCUCUAACAGUUCACACUUUAAUAUUAGGAAAAAAAAAGCUUUGAAAUUGAAAUAAAAAGUCUUAAGAAAAGAAAAAGGCAAUAAAUAUAGAGAAAUUAAUUAAGGGGCCACAUUAGGCUGAAACUAGAAGUAAUGAGUAAUAUUAUUAUUUCAGUUUAGUAAACUAAGUUGCUACAUUAGCGUUUCUCUACUCCUAGCCGAUUUUUGAAACUUUCCCAGAUAUUGUACUUUGUUUAGCUGGGCUGAAACUAAAGUAAUUUGUGAAAAGGUUCUUGUGGAGAAGAAAUUAAAGCCACCAAUAUCAAGUUGGAUGUUUAUUUUUUUUUUUGCUCAGAGUUUGUUGCAUACUUGUUUUUCCGUAAAAGAAUAAAAGAUUAAUCGAAGACAUGAGCAACAGCAUUACGAUGCUUUGUUUUCUGUAAUGCUUAUUCUGGCAAUGAAUUGAUGAUAGAGAAUGUCUGAUUAACAACAAGUUGAUGAUGAUUUUGUUUUGGAAAAGAUGCUUUGGUAUUUUGAAAUAAUGAACAAAAAAAGAAAAAAAAAAAAGGAUGUGAUAGUGUGGGAAAUAAUCUCAAUGAAAAAUUGUUUUCAUUUGUUACUUUUCCUUAAGUUUUUGUUUUGGAAAAGAUAUUCCUUAAUUUUUUGUUUUGGAAAAGAUGCUUGGUAUUUGAAAUCAUUAACAAAAAAAGAAAAAAAAAAAAGGAUGUGGUAGCAGGGGCGGAUGCAGCUCAAGCCCCCACUGGCCAAAAAAAAUUUAAAAAUAAAAGAAAAAAAUAUUUUAAUUUUUUAAUUAACCCCAUUAAAUUUAUUAAAAUAAUCACUAUAAAUUAUAAACUUCGUAAAAUUUAAACAUUAACUUUUAAGAAUUAUAAAAAUCUAUAUCUUAAUUAAAAAUAAUGAUAGUCCACCACUCAAAAUAUUUUCUAUUAUCAAAAAUAGGAUUAAUUCUUCAAGUUUCUAUAAUAAUAGUAAAGCGAAUGUUUUCAGUAAUGAAACUCAUGAUGAAUCAUCUUUGGAAUCGGAUAUGAUAAAUGAUAGUUUGGUUGCUUAUAUAGGAAACAGUAAAUUUAAUAAUAUUGAUAAUAAGUCUAUUGUAUAACAUUUUUAAAAUAUGAAAAUGCAUAGAGAAUAAUUAUAAACGUAUUAGUAAAUAUUUUAUAUAUUCAAAAUUUUAGUUUUUUAUAUUUUACUAUUAUCUAAUUUAGUCCCCGUAAAUUAUUUUUCUAAAUCCGCUACUGUGUGGUAGUGCUGGAAAUAAUCUCAAUGAAAAUUUGUUACUUUUCCUUAAUUUUUUUACAAAAGAGAGGUAUCUUAGAAUACCUCUAUUUUAAAGCAAAUACAUAUACUUGGAUUUUGUUUUGAUUGCUGUUGUAGCUGCUGGUACCAACGCUUCUCGAAGACAGAUCUUAAUGACAUCGAGAACAAGCAAGCUCCACGCCAUCAAGACUAUAUCGAGAGUUGGUUAUAGGUUAUGUCUAAUUUUUUAUUUAUUCUUAAAAAAUAUUAUAUUUGUUUUUCCAUUAAUUCAAAUACAUCGUAUAUAUGGUUUGAUUAAGUAAUAUUAUAUAUAGAGAGAGAUAGAAAUAGUCCUCCUCUAGUGCGGGGCUCUUUUUUUUUUUAUACGGACACACUUUUAAGUUAUGCGAUUUAAUAAAGUUUAUUAAACCGUACAAUAUUAUAUGUAUUCGAAAUUAACUCUAUUAAACUGUGCGCCUUAACAACGUGUACACAUUAAAAAAAAAUCAAUGUGCCCGCACCUGAGGAUGAUUAUAUUUAUAUAUAUAUAUAUAGACACACAUACAAGUUGUUGAAAUAAAUUUGAGAUUUAUGCCCUUAAUCUUGCAUUUCCAAGUAAACGCAUACAUUAGGCAAAAGUUUGAAAUUUACCUUGAUUGGCUAUGAAUUCAAAGCUUAUUGUUUAGCUUGCUUCUUGCUCGUGAAUCCAGUUUGGUUCUUCUAAUUUGCAGCAAUUUCAGCUUCAAUUUCAGUUGCAAAAUCAAGCUCCUCACUGCACGUGCGUGCACACACACACACACACACUCAAUCGACAAAGAAAGAGAGAGGGGGAGAGAGAGAGGCGCACUGUACUCAUAUCCCAAACUUUUUGAACAGUAAACUCUCAAUGAGCUGAAGUCAUUUAAAUAAUGUGGCUGAGUGUAGAAACUGCUCAUGUGUUAGUGCAAAAUUGUUCAUCUCAUUAUGAGCUAAAAUAACACAACUAAGGAUUAUAUUUGUCCAUAAUAUACUACUAUAUAUGGUAUGACAAAAUUAGACUCAUUAACAUAAUAUUUGAUCACUUAAUAAAUUAGUCUGUCAAAAUUGCUCCAUAAUAUUUGACAUUAGUCAUGCAUUAAUCCGGUAAAACAUGAAAAACAAUAUAGAAUGAUUUAUGCUAGUCCACAAUAUGUGAGAAAUAAAUCCAACAAUCUCCUACUUGGAUGGCAGAAGUUAUUAUAAUGAUAAUUGUUUUAAAUAAAUAUUUUUGAAAUAAAACAAAAUUAAUCAACAUGUGACUAUAACAGAAAGCCAAAAUGUGAGCUAUCAUCCAAAACAUAAAUAAUUCCAAAAUGGGCCAUAAGUACCAAGUCAUAUGUGCACCGACAAGAUGCUCCACAUAAUGAGACACUUAUAAACACGUGACCAUUGUAGUAAUAUACAAUUAUAAUUAUGAAAUAGCAUGACAAUGUGAUCAACAUGCCCAUUUCCACAAAGUCCACAUGUCUAGCUAAAUGAUAUUAAAACAAAAUGUCACCUAGACCAUCGCUUCUUUAUAACCAUAAUGAGACUGAAUCAAAAUAUCUCAAGAAGCGAGCUUCCUUUUCAUCAUAAUGAGACUAAUACCAAAAUGUUUCAAUGAAGCUAUACUUUUUUAUAACCAUAAUGAGACUAAAUCAAAAUGUCUCAGGAAAGCACACUGAAGCCAAGCCAAAAUGUUUCAGUCCAUAACAUCUAUAUUAAGACUAAACAAAAUGUUUCGAAUCAUAAUAUCCUCACGGUAUACAUAAUGUCAUAUUUAAUCAAAUGUGUACACAAUAUAUGGCAUAUCAAUAUCACAUAACAAUAUGCAUGCAUAAUAACAAAAAUAUGAGUAAUAUAUAAUCUCAUUUAAGUUGCAACUUGUAAUACAAACCAGAACUCCCACUGACUCAGCAUAUAUAAUAGGAUUCUAACAAUCUCAUAUGAGUUACAUGCUCCUUAAAUACUUUUGGAGUAAGCUUUAGUAAGUGGAUUAGCUAACAUGAGUUUUGUAGGCAUGUAAUCUACUGAUACAUAAGAUAGAGUAAUUUUCUCUCUCACAAAAAAGUAUUUAACAUCAAUAUGCUUGGAGCGUGAAGAACUCCCUGUAUUGUAAGAGAAAGAAAUAGUUACAAAAUUAUCAUAGUAUAUUUUUAAUGGUCUCGGUACAACUAACAAAAAAUUUAACCAUAAGAUAAAAUUCUGCAUCCAUAAAGCUGGACGAGUAGCCUCAAAACAUGCUAUAUAUUCUGCCUUCAUUGUUGAAGAAGCUAUAAGUGUUUGCUUGACACUUUUUCAUGAAAUAGCUCUUCAUGCCACCAUAAAGAUGUAACCAAAUGUGGAUUUCUUGUCUUCGUAACACCUUACGAAAUCAGCAUCAGAAACCCAGUUAUAUUCAAAUAGUCAAAUUGUUGAUAUGUCAAUGCAAAAUCUUUAAUGGCUUGUAAAUAUCUUGUUGAUGCGAGAUUCUGGUUUUCUACUCGUCCUCGACCAGGAUCUCUCAUCAACUAGUUCUACCACGACCAGGAUCCCUCCUUGCAAGACCUCUUCUCCACAUAUUCCUACGUACACAGAAACAAGUCAAAGCACACUGGGUGUUUUCUUGGCGUAAACCCUCCGACGCUCAAUACAGUAUAAUGCUUUUCACGGCAGCACUCUGGGCGAGCUGGUGGGGGCUAUGCAGUAUAAUGCUUUUCACCUCGGCUGCAUGACCACUUACUAUAAGGCGAAGGUCGGCCGCUAUGACCGAAAGAUGAGAGAGGACGUUCAAUCGGCCAAAACCAAAGUUGACGCUGUCGAGAAGAAAGUAGGAGAUCUGAACCUCGAGAACCUGAAGUUGAUAGAGCGGGAGUCUCUCGCGUAGGCCAAGACAAUCACUCUCGAGGAGGAGCUGACUAGGGUCAAGGAGGACCUGCAGAGACAAAAGGCUGCCUACGAGGCUCAGCUCGAAUCUCUCAAAGAUUCUCACCAGGUUCAGGUUGAGAACCUAGAUAAGAAAGCUGAUAACCAAUAUGACCAGGGGCUUCAGCAUUCUUAUUGCUGCAUCAUGGCCGUCCUUGGGAGGCAGCAUCCUGAUCUGAAGAUGAACGAGCUUGCUGCUGGUGUUGCCCAAUAUAUGGAGGAUGAGGCAACCAAAGAAGAUGUUGAAGAGUUGGAGCCAAAUGCCACCGAGGAGGGAAUCUCUCCUCCUCGUGCAGUUCUUGCUGAUGUUGCCGAGGCAAGUACCCCCCCUGGAGCAACUGGUGAAACCCCCCCUGCUCCUGAAGUGGAGCAGCCAGUAGAGGCAACCCAGCUUACUGACCCGCCGUCCUCUUAAGCGUGUCUUUUUUUUUUUUUCGAACAUUGUAUGUUAGGAUUAACAGCUUUGCAAACUAUUGGCAGAUUAAUAAGAAUGUUCUUACUUGUUUUCUCAUAUUGUAAUUGCAAAUUUUACAACGCUUGGGAGCCUGUUCGCUUUUUCUUGGUCGAGUCGAUUCUGGUACGCUUGGCUUUUGUUCUCGCCAUAAAACAAGCUUUGAGACUUAGCCUUUGUAUGCCUCAGAAAUUUUACAACGCUUAGGAGUCUGCUCGCCUUCGCUUGGUCGAGCAGAUCCUGGUACGCUUGACUUCUGGUCUCGCCACAAAACAGGCUUUGAGAAUUAGCCUUUGCAUGCCUUUGAAAUUUUACAACACUUGGUAGUCUGCUCGCCUUCGUUUGGUCGAGCAGAUCCUGGCACACUUGGCUUCUGGUCUCGCCAUAAAACAAGCUUUGAGACUUAGCCUUUGUAUGCCUCAGAAAUUUUACAACGCUUAGGAGUCUGCUCGCCUUCGCUUGGUCGAGCAGAUCCUGGUACGCUUGGCUUCUGGUCUCGCCAUAAAACAGGCUUUGAGACUUAACAUUUGCAUGCCUUUGAAAUUUUACAACGCUUGGGAGUCUGCUCGCCUUCGCUUGGUCGAGCAGAUCCUGGCACGCUUGGCUUCUGGUCUCGCCAUAAAACAUGCUUUGAGACUUAGCCUUUCCAUGCCUUAGAAAUUUUACAACGCUUGGGAGUCUGCUCGCCUUCGCUUGGUCGAGCAGAUCCUGGCACGCUUGGCUUCUGGUCUCGCCAUAAAACAUGCUUUGAGACUUAGCCUUUCCAUGCCUUAGAAAUUUUACAACGCUUGGGAGUCUGCUCGCCUUCGCUUGGUCGAGCAGAUCCUGGCACGCUUGGCUUCUGGUCUCGCCAUAAAACAUGCUUUGAGACUUAGCAUUUGCAUGCCUUUGAAAUUUUACAACGCUUGGGAGUCUGCUCGCCUUCGCUUGGUCGAGCAGAUCCUGGCACGCUUGGCUUCUGGUCUCGCCAUAAAACAUGCUUUGAGACUUAGCCUUUGCAUGCCUUAGAAAUUUUUACAACAUUAUAGCUAACUGAAAUUCCUCAUCGAUUCAUUAAUUGCUGAAUUCGGCUUACACGAGAUUGAUUUAAUAUAGAAUAAAUAACAACGAGCGCGAAUAAAAAUAACUUUAAAACAUGAACAAGUCUUAUUGGAAAUAUUUCCUGAGGUGUGCUGCGUUCCAUGGGCGUUUCACCUCGUGGCCAUCCGUGCAAACAAGCUUGUAGGCUCCGGGUCCAGCUAUCUGCUUGACCCUAUACGACCCCUCCCAGUUUGGUCCAAGUACUCAUUGAGUCGAGUCUUUCGUGUUCUGAUUCACCCUCCUUAAUACCCAAUCUCCGACCUUGAACUACCGUACACUCACCUUCUGGUUGUAAUACCGGGCAAUUCUCUGCUGGUAGACAGCCGAUCGCAUCAAUGCUUGCUCCCUCUUCUCGGUUAUCAAAUCCAGAUUCAAGCACAUCUGGUCGUUGUUCUGCUGCUCAUCGAAGUGAUCUGUCUGGUGCGUGGUCGUCCCUAUCUCGACUGGUACAACCGCUUCAUGUCCGAAGGCUAAGGCAAACGGAGUUUCGUCAGUUCUGCUGUACCGUACAUCCGCCUUGGCCGUACAGCAGUAACUUUAAAAAAAUUUAGAUCCUUUUAAAUUGCAAACCCACAAAGAAAAAAAUAAAUGCCACCUUAAUGUUACCAAUUAUUAUUAAUAUAAUAUCAUUUUUCCAAUAAUAUUUAGAUACAAAGAGCUCAAUUGGAAUUACAUUUAGAAGGCUCAAUUUUUUUUUUAAAAAUCACUUUUGGCAAAUCACCCUAUCCUAUAACAUGUUUUGAAAAAGUAUAUGGGGAGGCCAUAGAAGUGAGCUUCUCUGGUGGUUGGGUAGAAAAAUUUGCAAAACUCUGGCAACUUACACAGUUCCUGGUCUUCUCCUGCGCAUCCUGGUGCAUUGUCGGCCAGAAAUAUCCCUGCCUUAGAACCUUGUGGGCCAGGGACCUCCCACCAGAAUGAUUUCCGCAAAUUCCUUCAUGUAUUUCUCUUAUAACGUAAUCUGCGUCGUCCUCAUCCAAACACCGAAGGAAAGAUAGUGUAUACCCUCGCCGAUACAGUACCCCGUCAAUCAUCAUGUAUCUCGAGGCCUGGGCUCUAAUCUUCUGAGCCCGCAGCUUAUUUGGUGGCAAUACCCCGUCUCUAAGGUAUGAAGUUAUCGGGUCCAUCCACGUGCAUUUUUGUUCUAUCUGCAAUACCCCCAGAUUCUGCUCGAUGCUCGGGCUGGACUUCACCUCUAGAGGGAUCGACUUUGGCAUUUUUGGGUCUGCUACCGCUGCCAUCCUGGCCAAAAUAUCUGCUCGACUAUUCUGCUCUCUAGGGAUUUAUAUCACCUCCACUGCUUCAAAUUUUCCCAUCAUCUGCCUGACUAUCUUCAAAUACUGUUCCAUCACAAACUCUUUCAUGUACUCCUCUCAGUACGUAAUCUGCGUCGUCCUCAUCUAAACACAGAAGGAAUGGUAGGGUAUAUCCCCGCCGACAUAAUACCCCAUCAAUCAUUGUGUACCUCGACGCUUGGGCUCUGGUCUUCCGAGCUCGUAACUUAUCUAGUGGCAAUACCACAUCCCUGAUGUACGAGAUUAUCGGGUCCAUCCACGAGCAUUUCUGUUCUAUCCACAACACCUCCAGAUUUUGCUCGAUGCUAAGGCUGGUCUUCACCUCCAAAGGGAUCGACUUAGGCAUUUUUGGGUCCGCUACAGCUGCCAUCCUGGCCAGAAUAUCUGCUCGACUAUUCUGCUCCCUUGGGAUUUGUAUCACCUCAGCCGCCUCAAACUUCCCAAUCAUCUGCUUGACUUUCUUCAAGUACUGCUCCAUCUUCCCAUCACUUGGUUGAAAUAUUUCACUGACAUGAUUUGCAACCAGUUGGGAAUCAGUUUGGAUUUUCACCAUAUCUGCUUUCACUGCUUUGGCCAAUUCCAAGCCUGCUAUUAGAGCUUCAUAUUCGGCCUGGUUUUUUGCGGCUGUGAACUCGAACUUUACAGCAUAUGAGAUUUCCUCCCCUUCUGGACCUUCCAUGACAAUCCCUGCUCCAGACCCCUGCUCCCUUGAGGAUCCAUCCACCGACAUCUGCUAUACCCGAUCUUCGUUGUUGACUCUAGCAACAUCUAACUGAUCGAAUCCUAUUUCGGGCUUGCGAAUUCUGCCACGAAGUCGGCCAUUGCCUGGGCCUUUAUCGCUGCUCGGGGUUUAAAACUUAUGUCGAACUCACUCAACUCUAUGGCCCAUUUCAUUAGCCGACUAAAAGCAUCCGGCUUGUGUAGAGUCUGCCGUAACGGUUGGUUUGUGAUUACCGAGAUGGGGAAUGCUUGAAAGCAUGGCCUCAGCUUCCGAGCAGCAACCACAAGAGCAAGCGCCCAUUUUUCUAACGGCGGAUAUCUGGUCUUAGCAUCUAGCAGGGCCUUGCUCGUGUAAUAUAUUGGAUAUUGUACCCCUUCUUCUUCUCUCACUAGAACAGAACUUGUGGCACAAUAUGAUACCACUAUAUAUAGGAACAUCACGUCCCCAUCCCGCGGCGUGGACAACAGUGGUGCUUGCUGCAAAUAUUGCUUCAAAUUAUAGAAGGCUUCUUCGCAUUCAUGGGUCCACUCUGUUUUCUUUCCUCUCCUUAUCACUUGAAAGAAUGUCUGGUAUUUGUCUGUCGCCUUGGAUAUGAAUCGACUCAAGGCCGCUAAUCUCCCCGUAAGGCUCUGUAUGUCCUUCAAGUUAUGAGGAGACCUCAUCUGCACGAUUGCCUGGAUCUUCUCGGGAUUUGCCUCGAUCCCCCGGUGACUCACCAUGAACCCAAGAAAUUUCCCUGACUCGACCCCAAAGGCACACUUCUCUAGGUUGAGCAUCAUCUUGUAUUUCCUCAAAAGUCCAAAUGUCUCCUCGAUGUGCUCGACAUGUUCCUUCAGGAUUUUUGAUUUGGUUAUCAUGUCGUCCACAUACACUUCUAUUGUU
This 21531-nucleotide long non-coding RNA is filed under the name Citrus sinensis (sweet orange). Its description in RNAcentral is "long non-coding RNA (CSIN_LNC000229)". Lineage: Eukaryota; Viridiplantae; Streptophyta; Magnoliopsida; Sapindales; Rutaceae. The record is from RNAcentral.